RNAcentral lists this ribosomal RNA (392 nucleotides) under uncultured bacterium. RNAcentral describes it as "partial 16S ribosomal RNA". It matches the Rfam family "Bacterial small subunit ribosomal RNA", at positions 523 to 918 of the family's 1533-position model. The record is from RNAcentral.
AUACGGAGGAUCCGAGCGUUAUCUGGAUUUAUUGGGUUUAAAGGGUGCGCAGGCGGCCAUUUAAGUCAGCGGUUAAAUCGUGGGGCUCAACCCCAUUCUGCCGUUGAUACUGGGUGGCUUGAUUGCGGUCGAGGUUGGCGGAAUUCGUUGUGUAGCGGUGAAAUGCAUAGAUAUGACGAAGAACACCGAUUGCGUAGGCAGCUGACCAGACCGCAAAUGACGCUCAUGCACGAAAGUGCGGGGAUCGAACAGGAUUAGAUACCCUGGUAGUCCGCACAGUAAACGAUGAAUACUUGUUUUCGGCGAUAUAAUGUCGGAGGCAAAGCGAAAGCGAUAAGUAUUCCACCUGGGGAGUACGCCGGCAACGGUGAAACUCAAAUGAAUUGGCGGGG